CCGGCUCAGGCUCUGCUCCAAGCCUGGUCCUGGCUCAGGCUCUGCUCCCAACCCCAGCUCAGGCUCCGUCCCGAGCCUGGCCCCGGUCCCCCCGGCUCACUCUGAGGGGCCGGAGGCUCCGUGGGGCAGGGGGUCCCUGGCCGGUCUUGUUUUUGCAGCCAAACACGGGAAUCGGCGGCGGGGGGAGCGGGGAAAUGAAUUCUGUUGAGCUGGGGCUCUCCUGGCUGAGCUGCAGGAGGAAGCUGAGCAAUCCCUGGGCAGGGAUCUGCUGCAGAGGUCUGCUGCAGCCCAGGACAUGGAGCACCGGAGCACUCUUGUGUUGAACACGUUGCCCUGGAGUGCGCCCAGGUGAUCUCCAGGCCUAGGCCCGACAGAAGAGAGCCCGGUGCCCCAGUGUGUCAGGUGCAGACAAUGAGCUGUCCAGGGAACGAGCAGCAGGUCCCCUCUGCCCCUGCCCUCACGCUCGGAGUGACAGCAGCCAGGUGAGGGCUGUUAGGUUGAUGAGGGCUCAGAGCACUGCCAGUGAGGGCUGUUAGGUUGAUGAGGGCUCAGAGCACUGGCAGGUGAGAGUUGUUAGGUUGAUGAGGGGGCGGCUCCUGCCGGGGUGCUUUAAAAAGGGAGCCUCAGCUCACUUUGGCAUGGAGCUGCUGGAGGAGAGGUGCCUGUAUUGUGCUGCCAGGAGUGUCUUAUGGAGCAAUGGUGGUCCACUCAUAUUACACUGAGACCCCCUCACAGAGCGGCCAACAGCUCUGCUGAGAUCGUGCCCUGAUGUUUGGUUUACUUUGUGAGAGCUGACUGAGACACAGCAGCCCGGGGACAGCAGAAAAUUCCCUGAGGGCAGGAGGGCCUUCCAUCUGCACCCGACGCAGAUUCUCAUCGCCGGAAGUCCCAGAGAUAAGUGGAGGGCUAUGAGCCACAGAGGGGAUAUGCAAUUGGAUUAAAUCUGUGGCAGAGUGCCCCAUCCCAGGAAGUAAAGCUGGGUAUUGGCAGUAAAGGUCAAUGGAGCAAGUUGGUUCACUUGCCGGAUGUCCCAGCCCUGGAUGCCAGAGGCCAGAUGGGUGUAAGCUUAAGGUGCUGCUGCUGCCCUAGGUGUGCCGAGGAAUGUGGGAGAGCAGGUACCCUGUGGAGGUGCGGAGCCCGAGUUUGGAUAUGGCAGCACUGAAGCGGAUGCAGAGAAUGUCUCAACGUUCAUGAUGCCGACACGUUCUUUUCCAUCAAGAACAGAUUUUGUCUACUCAUCUCCUGAAAGAUAAGUGUUGGGGCUGGUGGUCAGGAGAAGAGGAAAAACCUUUUCCAUUCUAGGAGGCAAUUUAAAGCUAGCUUAGAUGAGAGGGUCCUAGAGGGAUGGACCAUUCGUGAGUAAAGGGAGAGCAUUUCUUCUCAGCCUCGUUGGCGCCUUCCCUGGCCAGGGCAGUUCUGCCCCCUCUCCAUGUUCUAGAGAGCUUUGUGGUGUCAGCUAUCUUCAAGAGUCCACAGGGUUAGGGUGCACCAGGGGAUGCCUGGCCCACCCUGGGAUCCAUGUCCUAGGAGGAACCCAAGAUGCAGGUUGUAGGGUUCAGCAGGGCACUUGACAGUGACACACAGAGGCUGAGGGAGGACUUGAGAGGGAAAGGACUCAAGGGCUAGAGAGCACACAGUGAAAAUAAGGGCUACAGGCAGGGAUACAAGCUAGAGUCCAGGUAUACCUGCCCUCAGAGCAGCCCUCCCAACACUCCUGUUUUCCUGAGAGUAGGUGCAGGCAGGAAUCCUAAUGCAAGACAAUGCCAGAACUCCUGAGAGGUGCAGGGAGUAAACCAAAGACUAGGCUAGGCAGAAUGCAGCAGUGGGGCUGGGAUUCCCCUGGGUUUCUUGCUAACGGGAUAUGCCCACCAUUGGUUCCUUCUCCUAUUGCAACCAGGGAUGCUCACACCCUUUAUGGAGGCUAUGGUGGGUAGUCAUUGACCCAAUAAUGCCAUGAGGACUUUGGCUCUGCAAGUUUGAGCCUCUGAGCAUGGCUAAAUGUAUUACUCAAAGACUCAGGCAUUCAUAGAAGAUGGUAAGUUGCAGAUUCUUCAGAUGUUGGAAGUCGUGCUGCCAAGGCCAUGCGUUCACAUUUAGUUUCCUUUAUUGUAGCCGCCUGAGAGAUGACAGCCUGGUGCCGGCGGGAAAUUCCUCGAGGGCGAGGCGGCUUUGUUUUGCACCCAAUGCUGAUUGGCAUGCCCAGACAUCAAAGAGAUAAGUGGAGGGCUGUGAGCCACAGAGGGGUUGAAAGUGGGGUGGCCAGUCAGGCGUCAGCAGGAGGGUUUUUUGAGUCAGAUUUGCAGUCCGGGAUGGCCAAGAUGUGACCCUUUAGGCCACAUUGAGGGGAAGUCUCCAUUUUGAUCACAGUGCUGAGGUGUGCAGGGCAGAGCAGUCCCAGGCCAUGUGGAGUCACUUGUCUGUUGUGCACUCUGUAUCUUUUGGGUGUCUCGCCUUCUGUGUCAUCGUCCAUAGCCCUGCAAGGGACCUUCUGGAAUCCCUGGCUUUGGUCUUAGCAUUUGCGUUCUCUGCGUUCCUUGGCUCAGCGCCUUGGACUCGAGAGCUCGCACGCACAUCGGAAUCGCAUCUUUCUUUAGAGGCAUUCGGUCCCAGGUCUUUUCAGGUCUUGUUCUGAGCUGUUCUGACAGCUGUGCACUGCAACGAUCCAUUGUGGUGGCUUAAGCCUUGUAAGAAUGCCGAGCUAGGUCGAGGUAUCUGACCGUAGGGUUCUCAGGCAUCUAUCUUUGCGGUUCUUGGACGAAGCAGUUCUGCUGGCAUCUUCUUGCUGCUGGGUUCUUUGAGCCUCAUCGGCUCCCCAUCGGUCUUAGCUUGGUCAUCUCCUUCCUCAUUCUCUCUGCCCUCAGGGUCAUUCUUCUUGCCGAGCCUUUUCUCUCCCUGUUGUGUCCCUCUCGAUGGUGGUGUCCUGUGUCACGGGUGUUGGUGUGCGUUUGGCCCUGCGCUGCUCUGCCCUGCUGCGUAGCCUGGGUGUAGGGGUAAUAGGACAUGUCCCGGGGACUUGAAGUUUGCAGUGUAGGGUGUAGUGGGAGUGUAGAGGGUAUUUCUGUAUGGGCACAAGAUGCCUGGGGCUUUUAAGUUAUCCUGCAGCGCUCUGACUUUUGUGCUAACUCUCUUUCAGAUGCGGAUGGAUUAGAUCUGUGGCAGAGCAUACCAAGGAGGAAACAGCUGUGGGUGAGAGACUUGCACACUGAAGGUAGUUGGCAAAAAUGGAGAGAGCCACUGGAAGGCCUUAUACCCAGUCCAAGGUUCUCACUUUUCUCUCUGAUGCCUGGAUAAUUGCUUGACCAUAACCAGACACUGUCCAUUUGAUUUUGUACCUUUUCCAAUAAAUGGUUACUUUCAGCUGUAGUCUGUUCCUGGUGUCAUCCUCCUCUGUUGGAAUGGCACACAAAACAACAACAUGGAGGCAGGAGGCCCACAGUGAAAGGCCACUCCCCAAAAAGAGGGCGAGCCUGUUUAUUUCUUCCAUUUUUAUACAUUUGUGGGUCUGGUUAUGGAUUGCAUCUGAGGUUACUACCCCUUCACCCCACUGGCCAGACCAGCUGUCAACCAACAUUAUUUUCAGGCUAGAAAUAUGUAAACAAAGGCCAGUGAACAAAAACAAGAACGGUUGCUUAUGUUCCAAAGUGUGAGAGUGAAAAACUGACCGUUCAUAUUGAACAGAAACAUCUUCUGAACAAGUAGAAGGCUUUAAAAAGCCAGAAAAACCAGAGCAACACUCCUCCUCCAUGGAUUUGUAAAUAAAGUUCCUGAUUUUUGCCAAGUUGACUUUUGUUAUUCUGAGAAUUGUGGCUCUUUUGUUCCAUUGAAACUUCCACACUCUGCUGAGAGUUUCAGAUGUCAAAAUAUAAGUAAGAUCGGAGUUUAUUUGCAUUGUUACUACCACAAAAUACAGAUCAUUCUGGGAUAGGAAUAACUACACAUGUUUAGUUCACACUACCCUUUAAAAUCAGAGCAGAGGAAGCAGAUUUUAAAUCAUCAUAAGCUUCCACCAACUUCCUGACUGUUCCAAAAGUUUUUACUUAUAAAAAAUCCUGAGGUUGUUUUCUAGGCAAGCUGAGAUUUAGAUGUUAUUCAUUCCUUUUAUUUGAUGAUUUUCCUCUCUCUGAUUUUAGUAAGGGAAUAUUUAUUUCUUCGAAUAUUCCAUACUAAUUGGAAUUUUUGUACAUCUUAAGGCACAUUUCCAAGGAAAUGUACCAAAUUAAUGUUAGUAAAUCAAGCAUUGUUCAGCACCAUAUCCACAAAAUUCUGUAAAUUCCCAGGAACAAUUGCUGAGUGUUUAAUUGCUAUAAUGAAUCUCUCAGUGAAGUUCAAUUUACUGCAUUUUAAAUUACAUGAAUCGCAUUAAAACUUAAAUCCUGGCCUAAUUGCUGUUCCUUGGAUGCCAUGGAGUGUUUCUUUUGGGUCUUGGUACCAUUGUUUCCCACAAAAAUAGAAUUUGUUUCAAGCAAAA
Prinia subflava (tawny-flanked prinia) is the source of this 4468-nucleotide long non-coding RNA. RefSeq lists it as uncharacterized. The record is from RefSeq and is a predicted model, not a curated record. The transcript has 8 exons. Lineage: Eukaryota; Metazoa; Chordata; Aves; Passeriformes; Cisticolidae.